This 393-nucleotide ribosomal RNA is filed under the name uncultured bacterium. Its description in RNAcentral is "partial 16S ribosomal RNA". It matches the Rfam family "Bacterial small subunit ribosomal RNA", at positions 523 to 918 of the family's 1533-position model. The record is from RNAcentral.
AUACGGAGGAUCCGAGCGUUAUCCGGAUUUAUUGGGUUUAAAGGGUGCGUAGGUGGACAGGUCAGUCAGGGGUGAAAGUUUGCAGCUUAACUGUAAAAUUGCCUUUGAUACUGCUUGUCUUGAGUACAAAUGAGGUAGGCGGAAUGCGUUGUGUAGCGGUGAAAUGCUUAGAUAUGACACAGAACACCGAUUGCGAAGGCAUCUCACGAAUCCGGGACUGACGCUGAGGCACGAAAGCGUGGGGAUCAAACAGGAUUAGAUACCCUGGUAGUCCACGCAGUAAACGAUGAUAACUAACCGUCGGCGAUAGACAGUCGGUGGCCAAGCGAAAGCGAUAAGUUAUCCACCUGGGGAGUACGUUCGCAAGAAUGAAACUCAAAUGAAUUGGCGGGG